CCUACGGGAGGCAGCAGUGGGGAAUAUUGGACAGUGGGGGGAACCCUGAUCCAGCCAUGCCGCGUGUGUGAAGAAGGCCCUCGGGUUGUAAAGCACUUUCAGUGAGGAAGAACGCCUGGUGGUUAAUACCCAUCAGGAAAGACAUCACUCACAGAAGAAGCACCGGCUAACUCCGUGCCAGCAGCCGCGGUAAUACGGAGGGUGCGAGCGUUAAUCGGAAUUACUGGGCGUAAAGCGCGCGUAGGUGGCUUGAUAAGCCGGUUGUGAAAGCCCCGGGCUCAACCUGGGAACGGCAUCCGGAACUGUCAAGCUAGAGUGCAGGAGAGGAAGGUAGAAUUCCCGGUGUAGCGGUGAAAUGCGUAGAGAUCGGGAGGAAUACCAGUGGCGAAGGCGGCCUUCUGGACUGACACUGACACUGAGGUGCGAAAGCGUGGGUAGCAAACAGGAUUAGAUACCCUAGUAGUC
RNAcentral lists this ribosomal RNA (465 nucleotides) under Vreelandella stevensii. RNAcentral's name for it is "partial 16S ribosomal RNA". It matches the Rfam family "Bacterial small subunit ribosomal RNA", at positions 338 to 795 of the family's 1533-position model. The record is from RNAcentral. Lineage: Bacteria; Pseudomonadati; Pseudomonadota; Gammaproteobacteria; Oceanospirillales; Halomonadaceae.